AAGACUGAAUGCCUAAACAGCAAACACAUCACACCGAAUUCAAAAUGGCGAUGGGCAUGAGAUGAGUUCUGUUGCAGAAAUCAUUAGAAGUAUGUAAGAAUGGAAGUUUUGCUGUUUGCUUCUUAGCUGUGUUUGACCUCAGGUUCCAGGCAUGCUACAUAUUAUUUCUAAUUAAGUUAAAUUAAUCCUUGUUAUGCCUUAUUGAAGAGGCAAUGCACUUUGAACAAUAUUAGAGUGGUCUUUCCCAAUUUCUAUUUGAUAGCUUAGACAUUAAAGAUAAUAUAAUUUAUAUACAGUUCUACAAGUGAAGAAAGAGAUGCCCAGAGAACAAGAUCUAAGCACUUAUACUUCCCUAUGCCAUUCAUUUUCUUUUUGUAUCAAUUUAUGAAUUUUGGGUUACAAUAGAGCCUUGAACUUCAUUUAGUUACAUGAUUUCCUGAGUGAGUUUACUCAAACCCUAUAUAGCAGAUAGUUCCAUUCCAAAGAACGGUCUUAGGUUGACACUGUCUUGUACCACUCUUCUACCACUGAACUAUCCCCGUGAACUAUCUAUCUCCAAAUCUAGACAACAUGUCUAUAUACUGUGGCAGGUUGAAGUGGGUUUUGUUGAACGAGAGUUACAUUUGCUUGUGUUUUCGCUGUAUUUGUCAGUAGUGGUUAAUUAAACAGGAGACUAUUUGUUAACUUACAAAUCACUGAGGAAUGCUGUCUACCAAUCUAAUAGAAAAUAUUUAAAAUAAUAUAAUUGGUAAAAGAGAUGCUUUUUUUUUUUCAAAAUUAGCAUUGAAGGAAAAAUCACACUAGCAUUACAGUUGCUGUGUGUACAGUUCUAUAUCAGAGAGUGACAGUGAUGCUUACAGUUUUAAUCAGGAUUGGCAAUGUGAUUCUGGGUUCAUUCAGAAACAGAAAUCAUGCUCACUGGCUAAAUUUUUGAUGGUCAGUAACAGACUUGGCUUAUUUUUUCAAUUAUUUAUUAGAUUUUUACAUUAAAAUGAAUAUCAUUACUCAAAAAAAGAAAGAAAACAAAAAUUCCUUUAUACAUUUUGGUGAAUGCAAGACACAGUAUUACAGAGAAAUAAAUCAUGCAACCCACAUUGAGUACACGUGGUCAUUCUUAUUGCUAGGGGACACAUAAGUAUUAUACAGUUUCCUUUUAUCAGAACUCCAGGUCUACAAAAAUCAAUUUGUCUCUAUAAAUAGUACAUCUGCUAAAAUCUAAAUAUGUUAGUAUAAGAAGUUCACCUUGGCAUCUUUAUAGACAUCUCAGAAACUGUUAAUUUUCCAAUUUAACAUAGUUAAUAUUAACAAUAUUAACAAUAUUAAUGUGUUUCCAAUAUUAACAUAGCUAGUGACUUUUUCUCAGGAAUAUUUUAAUGUAAAAGAAUUAAUACUACAUUCAAUGAUAUAAUUCUCAUAUCUCCUUAGGUAACCCAUAUAUAAUAAAAAAAAAAAAGGAAAAUUCCAGUGCUAAUGGAAAAACCUGUACCAUGCAAUGAGUCACUUGAUACAAAUAAGUAGCCAUAGUAAAUAUGAUACCAAUCAUUCUUCAGUAAGUAAUUCAUCUCAUUCACUUCUAAUUAACCUAUGUGAGAUAAGAAAAAAAAAGACAUACUAUUUAUCAUAUAUAAAUCCAAACAAGGAGGAAGUAGUGUUCUUCCAUUGAGCAUGCCUAAAGGAGUAGUCAUGGCUUUCUGAUAUUCAUUAUUAUCUAUAUUGGUAGUUUGGCUAAGUGACUACUUGAAAUUUGUAGGUAAGGCUCAAGUGGACAAACUGACUUCUAGACUAGACCAGUACUGUGACAGUUACAGGUUCUCCAGUAAUUUUAGGUAAUACAAGGAACCUAAAGCCUCUAGAGAGACUAGAAUAUUUAUGCAGUUCUACUUCUUUCAGUCUCCCAGUGCUUUCAACAUUGUCUUUGAUUCUCAUUAUUUUUUGCAGUCUCUGGUUUAGCCUGUUUCUAGUUUGGAUGUUCCAAAUGUUACCUGUAGACUAGAUUGUGAGUGGCAUCUCCCAGGGGAUCACCGAAUGCCUAAUUCUAAGUCCAGUUUGGAUAUGGUGAGUCAGACCUGCAUUUUGACACCCACACUUUUUCUUUGAAGGAUGUAGGUGCCUAAUUGAGAAAUGAAUUCUAGAUUUUUCUGAGUACCUCACCUAGGUAGGCAAUCAUUCCAGUUAAUCCCCAUGUGUUUACAUUGUAAAAGGAAAAAUUAACUAUCAGGUAAUAAAUUAGCUUUUGUGCCAUGGUCUAGCAGUUUGUUCAAACCCUUCAUAUUCGUAUGGGUUAUCAAUUUUAUCAGGCAAGAAAAGCAAACAAUACCAGUUUGAGCCUCUCAUGUGUACCUCCUAUGUUGGUUGCAUUUGCAUUCCAAACAAAUCUCGCUUCUAGUUAUUUCUAACUUCUACCAUUUUUUUUCCAUCUUCACAUUGGAUGUUAUAAGCCAAAGUGGAUGACAAUGGAUUGGAGUGGAUGUUAAAUAAAUAAAUAUCAGCCUCACAGAAAGAGAAUAAUGAAACUGAAUGUCCCCUUAGCUUUUCUGUGGAUGCUGUAAUGGAUUCUGAUGUCAGAAUCCUUGGGCUGAGGGAUCAACCUAUGAUUGGCUGAAGGUGGGGGCCUGGUGGGACACGGAAGUUUGUAGGUGACUCCCUUUGAUUCGGAAAUUGGAGCAAUGAGGUUGCUCUGUGUUACUGAAGGACUACUGUGGGAAAUAGUAGUACAUAAUAAAAAUGCUUUUCAAAGGAGUACAUGCAAAUUAGGAGUUAAUGUAAGGUCCCAAAGAUAUAUGCCAGUCUUUUCCAUUUUGAAAAUCAGACAAAACCAAUAUCCAUGCACCAUUAUAUGUGUUUUUGUACUUUAUGUGUUUUUUGAAAUUGCCCUUUGUCUCCAGAGACAGGAAAGAGAAUUCCAUGCUCUAUGAACAUAAACAUUUUUCAAAAUACUGCUAUUAAAUCUGUCUGUCUCAGUAACCUCUGAGUCUUGAAAAAGGUUGUAUUUGGAGAAUCUUUGGGAACACUGUGAUUCUAACAUAUCCUAAAGUUUGCGAUACCAUUUUAACUAAGCUUUUAUUGCAGAUGUCUGGAAAAAUAAAAAAAAUUACAAU
RNAcentral lists this long non-coding RNA (3098 nucleotides) under Mus musculus (house mouse). Its description in RNAcentral is "long non-coding RNA chr2:16493894-16496992". Lineage: Eukaryota; Metazoa; Chordata; Mammalia; Rodentia; Muridae. The record is from RNAcentral.